UUAAGCGACUAAGCGUACACGGUGGAUGCCCUGGCAGUCAGAGGCGAUGAAGGACGUGCUAAUCUGCGAUAAGCGUCGGUAAGGUGAUAUGAACCGUUAUAACCGGCGAUUUCCGAAUGGGGAAACCCAGUGUGAUUCGUCACACUAUCAUUAACUGAAUCCAUAGGUUAAUGAGGCGAACCGGGGGAACUGAAACAUCUAAGUACCCCGAGGAAAAGAAAUCAACCGAGAUUCCCCCAGUAGCGGCGAGCGAACGGGGAGCAGCCCAGAGCCUGAAUCAGUGUGUGUGUUAGUGGAAGCGUCUGGAAAGGCGUGCGAUACAGGGUGACAGCCCCGUACACAAAAAUGCACAUACUGUGAGCUCGAUGAGUAGGGCGGGACACGUGGUAUCCUGUCUGAAUAUGGGGGGACCAUCCUCCAAGGCUAAAUACUCCUGACUGACCGAUAGUGAACCAGUACCGUGAGGGAAAGGCGAAAAGAACCCCGGCGAGGGGAGUGAAAAAGAACCUGAAACCGUGUACGUACAAGCAGUGGGAGCACGCUUAGGCGUGUGACUGCGUACCUUUUGUAUAAUGGGUCAGCGACUUAUAUUCUGUAGCAAGGUUAACCGAAUAGGGGAGCCGAAGGGAAACCGAGUCUUAACUGGGCGUUAAGUUGCAGGGUAUAGACCCGAAACCCGGUGAUCUAGCCAUGGGCAGGUUGAAGGUUGGGUAACACUAACUGGAGGACCGAACCGACUAAUGUUGAAAAAUUAGCGGAUGACUUGUGGCUGGGGGUGAAAGGCCAAUCAAACCGGGAGAUAGCUGGUUCUCCCCGAAAGCUAUUUAGGUAGCGCCUCGUGAAUUCAUCUCCGGGGGUAGAGCACUGUUUCGGCAAGGGGGUCAUCCCGACUUACCAACCCGAUGCAAACUGCGAAUACCGGAGAAUGUUAUCACGGGAGACACACGGCGGGUGCUAACGUCCGUCGUGAAGAGGGAAACAACCCAGACCGCCAGCUAAGGUCCCAAAGUCAUGGUUAAGUGGGAAACGAUGUGGGAAGGCCCAGACAGCCAGGAUGUUGGCUUAGAAGCAGCCAUCAUUUAAAGAAAGCGUAAUAGCUCACUGGUCGAGUCGGCCUGCGCGGAAGAUGUAACGGGGCUAAACCAUGCACCGAAGCUGCGGCAGCGACACUAUGUGUUGUUGGGUAGGGGAGCGUUCUGUAAGCCUGUGAAGGUGUACUGUGAGGUAUGCUGGAGGUAUCAGAAGUGCGAAUGCUGACAUAAGUAACGAUAAAGCGGGUGAAAAGCCCGCUCGCCGGAAGACCAAGGGUUCCUGUCCAACGUUAAUCGGGGCAGGGUGAGUCGACCCCUAAGGCGAGGCCGAAAGGCGUAGUCGAUGGGAAACAGGUUAAUAUUCCUGUACUUGGUGUUACUGCGAAGGGGGGACGGAGAAGGCUAUGUUGGCCGGGCGACGGUUGUCCCGGUUUAAGCGUGUAGGCUGGUUUUCCAGGCAAAUCCGGAAAACAAGGCUGAGGCGUGAUGACGAGGCACUACGGUGCUGAAGCAACAAAUGCCCUGCUUCCAGGAAAAGCCUCUAAGCAUCAGGUAACAUCAAAUCGUACCCCAAACCGACACAGGUGGUCAGGUAGAGAAUACCAAGGCGCUUGAGAGAACUCGGGUGAAGGAACUAGGCAAAAUGGUGCCGUAACUUCGGGAGAAGGCACGCUGAUAUGUAGGUGAAGUCCCUCGCGGAUGGAGCUGAAAUCAGUCGAAGAUACCAGCUGGCUGCAACUGUUUAUUAAAAACACAGCACUGUGCAAACACGAAAGUGGACGUAUACGGUGUGACGCCUGCCCGGUGCCGGAAGGUUAAUUGAUGGGGUUAGCGCAAGCGAAGCUCUUGAUCGAAGCCCCGGUAAACGGCGGCCGUAACUAUAACGGUCCUAAGGUAGCGAAAUUCCUUGUCGGGUAAGUUCCGACCUGCACGAAUGGCGUAAUGAUGGCCAGGCUGUCUCCACCCGAGACUCAGUGAAAUUGAACUCGCUGUGAAGAUGCAGUGUACCCGCGGCAAGACGGAAAGACCCCGUGAACCUUUACUAUAGCUUGACACUGAACAUUGAGCCUUGAUGUGUAGGAUAGGUGGGAGGCUUUGAAGUGUGGACGCCAGUCUGCAUGGAGCCGACCUUGAAAUACCACCCUUUAAUGUUUGAUGUUCUAACGUUGACCCGUAAUCCGGGUUGCGGACAGUGUCUGGUGGGUAGUUUGACUGGGGCGGUCUCCUCCUAAAGAGUAACGGAGGAGCACGAAGGUUGGCUAAUCCUGGUCGGACAUCAGGAGGUUAGUGCAAUGGCAUAAGCCAGCUUGACUGCGAGCGUGACGGCGCGAGCAGGUGCGAAAGCAGGUCAUAGUGAUCCGGUGGUUCUGAAUGGAAGGGCCAUCGCUCAACGGAUAAAAGGUACUCCGGGGAUAACAGGCUGAUACCGCCCAAGAGUUCAUAUCGACGGCGGUGUUUGGCACCUCGAUGUCGGCUCAUCACAUCCUGGGGCUGAAGUAGGUCCCAAGGGUAUGGCUGUUCGCCAUUUAAAGUGGUACGCGAGCUGGGUUUAGAACGUCGUGAGACAGUUCGGUCCCUAUCUGCCGUGGGCGCUGGAGAACUGAGGGGGGCUGCUCCUAGUACGAGAGGACCGGAGUGGACGCAUCACUGGUGUUCGGGUUGUCAUGCCAAUGGCACUGCCCGGUAGCUAAAUGCGGAAGAGAUAAGUGCUGAAAGCAUCUAAGCACGAAACUUGCCCCGAGAUGAGUUCUCCCUGACUCCUUGAGAGUCCUGAAGGAACGUUGAAGACGACGACGUUGAUAGGCCGGGUGUGUAAGCGCAGCGAUGCGUUGAGCUAACCGGUACUAAUGAACCGUGAGGCUUAACCU
Molecule: ribosomal RNA, 2899 nt
Filed under: Escherichia coli
Lineage: Bacteria; Pseudomonadati; Pseudomonadota; Gammaproteobacteria; Enterobacterales; Enterobacteriaceae
Description: 23S ribosomal RNA
Rfam family: Bacterial large subunit ribosomal RNA
Source: RNAcentral